CCAUGCGNNUCCUGGUGUUUCGGCACCGGCGGACGGCUCAUUAACACGUGGACAACCUACCCUCGGGAGGGGGAUAACCCCGGGAAACUGGGAAUAAACCCCCAUAGGUCAUAGAUGCUGGAAGGCGCUAUGACCGAAAUUCUGCAAGGAGCCCGAGGAUGGGUCUGCGGCCUAUCAGGUUGUAGUGGGGGUAACGGCCCCACUAGCCUACGACGGGUACGGGCCCUGAGAGGGGGAGCCCGGAGAUGGACUCUGAGACACGAGUCCAGGCCCUACGGGGCGCAGCAGGCGCGGAAACUCCGCAAUGCUCGAAAGAGCGACGGGGGGACUCCGAGUGCCUACGCUUUGCGUAGGCUUUUCCCGAGCCUAAAAAGUUCGGGGAAUAAGGGCUGGGUAANACGGGUGCCAUCCGUGAUGGCAGUCAAAAAUUUGGCUUGCCGUUGCAAGGCAUAAGCCGCCGCGGUAUUACCCGCAGCUCGAGUGGUGGCCCUUUUNUUGGCCUAANCGUCCGUACCGGUCUGGNAAUGCUGGGUAAUCGUCUGGUCACCANACGCUCCAGGUAACUGCCAACUNGGACG
This 578-nucleotide ribosomal RNA is filed under the name uncultured archaeon. RNAcentral's name for it is "bacterial SSU rRNA". It matches the Rfam family "Archaeal small subunit ribosomal RNA", at positions 49 to 599 of the family's 1478-position model. The record is from RNAcentral.